GAGUGUGGUUUUUUCUAAGCCUUAGCACGCUUGUAUCCUCUCUAUCAAAGGGCAAAUUGAGUCACGAUUUAGGUCUCCCCGUACCCAUUAUGCAUGAAUUCCCUAGGUUCAUGCAUCCACUCUAUCAUUGCACUUUCAUUUUUUCCUCUCAUUUGCACACGUAUACCCUUAUCCCUUCACUUGCACACGAACAUUUCUUCUCUCAUUUGCACACGUACACCUUUUUAUCCCUUCACUUGCACACGAACACUUUUAUCAUCACUUGCACACAUGUACUUCAUAUUA
RNAcentral lists this long non-coding RNA (285 nucleotides) under Coffea arabica (coffee). RNAcentral's name for it is "long non-coding RNA (CARA_LNC004209)". Lineage: Eukaryota; Viridiplantae; Streptophyta; Magnoliopsida; Gentianales; Rubiaceae. The record is from RNAcentral.